GGAGUGCUACUAUGCGAGUCGANCGCGAAAGCGGGCUAUCGGCCCUGAGUAGAGUGGCGAACGGGUGAGUAACACGUGGGUGAUCUACCUCUGAGUGGGGGAUAACGUUCCGAAAGGAGCGCUAAUACCGCAUGACGUUCCGGGUUUGAAGACCUGGAAACCAAAGUCGGGGACCGCAAGGCCUGGCGCUUGGAGAGGAGCCCGCGCCUGAUUAGCUAGUUGGUGAGGUAAUGGCUCACCAAGGCGACGAUCAGUAGCCGGCCUGAGAGGGCGGACGGCCACACUGGGACUGAGACACGGCCCAGACUCCUACGGGAGGCAGCAGUGGGGAAUUGUUCGCAAUGGGCGCAAGCCUGACGACGCAACGCCGCGUGGAGGAUGAAGGUCUUCGGAUUGUAAACUCCUGUUGACCGGGAAGAAUGGGCCCCGACCUAAUACGUCGGGGCAGUGACGGUACCGGUUGAGGAAGCCACGGCUAACUCUGUGCCAGCAGCCGCGGUAAUACAGAGGUGGCAAGCGUUGUUCGGAAUUACUGGGCGUAAAGGGCGCGUAGGCGGCCUUCUAAGUCGGACGUGAAAUCCCCAGGCUUAACUUGGGAACUGCGUCUGAUACUGGAAGGCUUGAGUGCGGGAGAGGGAUGUGGAAUUCCAGGUGUAGCGGUGAAAUGCGUAGAUAUCUGGAGGAACACCGGUGGCGAAGGCGGCAUCCUGGACCGACACUGACCCUGAGGCGCGAAAGCCAGGGGAGCAAACGGGAUUAGAUACCCCGGUAGUCCUGGCCCUAAACGAUGAGUGCCUGGUGCGGGCGGGUAUCGAUCCCUGCCGUGCCGAAGCUAACUCAUUAUGCACUCCGCCCUGGGGAGUACGGGCGCAAGGUUG
Molecule: ribosomal RNA, 878 nt
Filed under: uncultured Acidobacteriota bacterium
Lineage: Bacteria; Pseudomonadati; Acidobacteriota
Description: bacterial SSU rRNA
Rfam family: Bacterial small subunit ribosomal RNA
Source: RNAcentral